This 1016-nucleotide long non-coding RNA is filed under the name Felis catus (domestic cat). RNAcentral's name for it is "lncRNA (ENSFCAG00000046239.2)". The record is from RNAcentral. Lineage: Eukaryota; Metazoa; Chordata; Mammalia; Carnivora; Felidae.
AUGUUAACCUUUCCUCUGUUCUUCCCAUGUAAAAGAGAGAGUGACCACUUUGACCUGACAGCCAUUAAUUUACCAGGCAACACGGAUCUCCGCAGUGAUUCCUUGUACGUGUGUGACCCCAGGUGUUCUUAUUAUAGUGGUUCUUGGCCACAAAGAUUUCCAUUCAAAAGGACUGAGCCUGGGAUCCUGGAAGCUGCAUCUUUUGCUAAAGCGUCCCAGCGACGUCUACGUGGAAUGGGGAUAGCCUGGAGCCUGCUUUUGUGCGGUGACAUCUACGUGGAAUGGGGGUGGCCGAAAGAGUCAAGUGGCCCAGGAGAUGAAUACUGCCAAAGCUCACCAGUUGAGAAACUCUGGGUGAACGGCAGGAGGAGAGGGAGUUUGGGGGACAGAUUAGAUGUCACCUUGGGAAUGAUGUCACACUGUUCCUGGAGUGUCAGCACUAUAGAUACUAAUAUUAAUGGUGGAUGAUAUUAGUACCGAAUAGUUGCUACUUUGUCAGGUGGAGGUAAGAAAAGAAUCCAAAUUUUUCCCAGCCCCAGCAAUAUCUUAUUUAACCUCUACACCAAGCUUUUAUUUUUUUAUUUAUUUUUUAUUUUUUGUAUUUUGAAUUUCCAGUUUUUUGUUUGUUUAUUUUUAAUAUAUGUUUUAAAUUUAUACCCAAGUUAGUUAGCAUAUAGUGCAACAACAAUUUCAGGAGUAGAUUCCUUAAUGCCCCUUACCCAUUUAGCCCAUCCCCCCUCCCACAACCCCUUCAGUAACCCUCUGUUUGUUCUCCAUAUUUAAGAGUCUCUUGGGGCGCCUGGGUGGUGCAGUCGGUUGAGCGUCCGACUUCAGCCAGGUCACGAUCUCGCGGUCCGGGAGUUCGAGCCCCGCGUCAGGCUCUGGGCUGAUGGCUCAGAGCCUGGAGCCUGUUUCCGAUUCUGUGUCUCCCUCUCUCUCUGCCCCUCCCCUGUUCAUGCUCUGUCUCUCUCUGUCCCAAAAAUAAAUAAACGUUGAAAAAAAAAUUUUAUAAAAAA